UCUAUUCUAUUCUAUUCUAUUCUAUAAUGCUAUACUAAAACUAUACUAAAGAAUAGAGAAAGGAUUCAGACAGAAGGCUAAAAGAUAAUAAUGAAAACUCGUGACUCUCUCUAGAGCCUCAACACAACUGGAUCUUGAUUGGUCAUUAAAUUAAAACAAUUCACACGAAACCAAUCAAUGACCAGUUGGUAAACAAUGUCCAAACCACAUUCCAAAGCAGCAAAACACAGGAGAAGCUAAUCAGAUAAUUAUUGUUUUCAUUUUUCUCUGAGGUUUCUCAGCUUCCCAGGAGAAGAAAUCCUGGCAAAGGGAUUUUUCAGAAAAUAUGGCAGUGUCACAAUCUGCUGUGGCUCUUGGCUGUCAGAAAUUCUCAGCUGGUUCCUAUCUUCUGCUGUAUUACCCAGUAUGGAGGGACUUCUGCUGAGGAUGUGCCAGUGUCACAGCUUCCAGUCAGGAGCACUCAGCUGACUGCUGCCCCACAGCAGCUGCACUGGGACCCCUUUGCUCUCCUGCCACAGCUGAUCCUGCUCCACUGCUGUGCUCCAAGGCACUGGAAUUUGCUCAGACUCCACCAGGAUGAAGAAGGAGGUGUUAGGCAGAGGAGAAGACAUGGACAUGUGUCUGCUCAGCCAUUUGCUGCUCUACAGUGUCAAGUGCGCUCCAUGAAUGUGCUCUACCUCUGCCAAAACACCAGUUUGUAUUUCCACAGCAUUCCUGGAGCCAUAAAAGUGUCAUUCCACACCUCCUCAGGUGUUAAAGCUUAUUUAAAAACUCCUUCAACCCCUAUGGCAUUUUAUAGCUCUUGCUCUAGAGACCUGAAGUUGACUGGACAUAAGCAGGUGAAUCCUUAUUUUGGGAUGUUCACAGCUGAGCUCCUUGAAUUUGAAGGGAUUCUGCACUGAGAGCUUGGUCUCCUGUUAUGGAAACAAGGCCUAUAGUUAUACCCAGCCUUUUCUUAGUUCUGUACUUACAGUUCCUCAGAGUUAAUUUCAGGUUUUUAGUGCUCCUAAGCUCCCUUUGACCUCUCUUUGGCCCAAAAAUGCAUAGCUUUGUUCUUUAGUCUUACCUAUAAAUAAAAACAUUUUUUCUCUUAA
Molecule: long non-coding RNA, 1094 nt
Organism: Melospiza melodia melodia
Lineage: Eukaryota; Metazoa; Chordata; Aves; Passeriformes; Passerellidae
Exons: 2
Source: RefSeq, a predicted model, not a curated record